Molecule: non-coding RNA, 26 nt
Filed under: Homo sapiens (human)
Lineage: Eukaryota; Metazoa; Chordata; Mammalia; Primates; Hominidae
Source: RNAcentral
UUGUGGAUGAUAAGCAAAUUGUAGUA